CAAACCAAAGCUGGCGACCGGCGCACGGGUGAGUAACACGUAUCCAACCUGUCUCAUGCUCGGGGAUAGCCUUUCGAAAGAAAGAUUAAUAUCCGAUAGCAUAUAUUUCCCGCAUGGGUUUUAUAUUAAAGAAAUUCGGUAUGAGAUGGGGAUGCGUUCCAUUAGUUUGUUGGGGGGGUAACGGGCCCACCAAGACUACGAUGGAUAGGGGUUCUGAGAGGAAGGUCCCCCACAUUGGAACUGAGACACGGUCCAAACUCCUACGGGAGGCAGCAUG
This 277-nucleotide ribosomal RNA is filed under the name uncultured bacterium. RNAcentral describes it as "partial 16S ribosomal RNA". It matches the Rfam family "Bacterial small subunit ribosomal RNA", at positions 74 to 353 of the family's 1533-position model. The record is from RNAcentral.